AUGCAGGAAGUGCCAAAAUUCAGUCUUUUAUCCUAUUGAGAGAGUUGACUCAGGACAUCCAUGAGUCGAUUCACAGGUGUGCCAAUACCAGAGCAUGCUAGAGUCGACUAAUCCAUGCCAUGAGUUGACUCAUUGACCUCAAUUUGACUUUCUCAUUUAAUUCAUCUUCAAAAUUAUUUUUUAAGAUUCAAAUACUUUUUAGAUGAUUUCA
Molecule: long non-coding RNA, 211 nt
Filed under: Elaeis guineensis (African oil palm)
Lineage: Eukaryota; Viridiplantae; Streptophyta; Magnoliopsida; Arecales; Arecaceae
Description: long non-coding RNA (EGUI_LNC002317)
Source: RNAcentral